AAAAAAAAAAAAAAAAACUUGAGCACUUGCUAGAUCUGCUUACCCAUAAAUGGCUGUGAAGUGAAGGAUGCUGAUCUUCCUUGUUGAACCUCCAUGGCAUACAGUGACUGGACAUAGUUGAUUAUCUCAUCUAGCAUUCCAGCUUUCCCAGUGAUCUUAUUGCACCCCGGUACUAGAUCCUGCAGGUAUCUCAUUCUCUCACUGAUUUUUUCCCUCCUCACCUGCAAAUUAUUCAACACAGUAUAUGCAUUUGAGCUUUGAGAUGCAUGAGAAUUUUGAUCUGAUAUAGUAGAAGAUUGAUGAAUACUAAUUAAUUUUCCAACUAACUCACUCUUUCUGCUAAGCUAUGACUGUCUGUGGCUUGGCCCCGUCGUGCCCGGACAUGAAUGUAGUCUGGCUUUUUGUCUUGUGUUACCUUGGAAGUGUCAGUGCUGUGUUCUUUCUUGCUAUUGUUGUUAGUGUGCUCUGUUCUGACGUCUUCUUGUUGGCAUCCUUUCAGCUUCCUGUCCUUUCUUUCCUCUUCUGCAACUGCCUGAAAA
Long non-coding RNA from Ipomoea triloba (trilobed morning glory), 539 nucleotides. RefSeq lists it as uncharacterized. NCBI's taxonomy places the organism in Eukaryota, Viridiplantae, Streptophyta, Magnoliopsida, Solanales, Convolvulaceae. The record is from RefSeq and is a predicted model, not a curated record. The transcript is spliced from 2 exons.